AUGAACGCUGGCGGCGUGCUUAACACAUGCAAGUCGAACGGAAAGGCCCAAGCUUGCUUGGGUACUCGAGUGGCGAGCGGGUGAGUAACACGUGGGUGAUCUGCCCUGCACUUCGGGAUAAGCCUGGGAAACUGGGUCUAAUACCGGAUAGGACCACAUUUUGGAUGGUGUGGUGGAAAGUUUUUCGGUGUGGGAUGAGCUCGCGGCCUAUCAGCUUGUUGGUGGGGUAAUGGCCUACCAAGGCGUCGACGGGUAGCCGGCCUGAGAGGGUGUACGGCCACAUUGGGACUGAGAUACGGCCCAGACUCCUACGGGAGGCAGCAGUGGGGAAUAUUGCACAAUGGGCGCAAGCCUGAUGCAGCGACGCCGCGUGGGGGAUGACGGCCUUCGGGUUGUAAACUCCUUUCGCUAGGGACGAAGCGCAAGUGACGGUACCUGGAGAAGAAGCACCGGCUAACUACGUG
RNAcentral lists this ribosomal RNA (464 nucleotides) under uncultured bacterium. Its description in RNAcentral is "partial 16S ribosomal RNA". It matches the Rfam family "Bacterial small subunit ribosomal RNA", at positions 29 to 507 of the family's 1533-position model. The record is from RNAcentral.